GGUGCCUUCGGGAACUGUGAGACAGGUGCUGCAUGGCUGUCGUCAGCUCGUGUUGUGAAAUGUUGGGUUAAGUCCCGCAACGAGCGCAACCCUUAUCCUUUGUUGCCAGCGGUCCGGCCGGGAACUCAAAGGAGACUGCCAGUGAUAAACUGGAGGAAGGUGGGGAUGACGUCAAGUCAUCAUGGCCCUUACGACCAGGGCUACACACGUGCUACAAUGGCGCAUACAAAGAGAAGCGACCUCGCGAGAGCAAGCGGACCUCAUAAAGUGCGUCGUAGUCCGGAUUGGAGUCUGCAACUCGACUCCAUGAAGUCGGAAUCGCUAGUAAUCGUGGAUCAGAAUGCCACGGUGAAUACGUUCCCGGGCCUUGUACACACCGCCCGUCACACCAUGGGAGUGGGUUGCAAAAGAAGUAGGUAGCUUAACCUUCGGGAGGGCGCUUACCACUUUGUGAUUCAUGACUGGGGUGAAGUCGUAACAAGGUAACCGUAGGGGAACCUGCGGUUGGAUCACCUCCUU
Molecule: ribosomal RNA, 519 nt
Filed under: Escherichia coli
Lineage: Bacteria; Pseudomonadati; Pseudomonadota; Gammaproteobacteria; Enterobacterales; Enterobacteriaceae
Description: bacterial SSU rRNA
Rfam family: Bacterial small subunit ribosomal RNA
Source: RNAcentral